Molecule: long non-coding RNA, 233 nt
Organism: Dendronephthya gigantea
Lineage: Eukaryota; Metazoa; Cnidaria; Anthozoa; Malacalcyonacea; Nephtheidae
Exons: 4
Source: RefSeq, a predicted model, not a curated record
CGAUGAACAGUUUGGGAAAUUACUGGAGAAAGUUGCAGUCUACCACGACCACUAGCUUGACCUAUGCAUGGGAGCAACUCAUGAAGUCUGUUAUUUGUGUGUCUAGAAAUCGGUCAUUGCAUUUAUCGAUUGUUCCAGCAUCCGUCGACAACAAUUUUGAAAGGUGCUGGUAUGGUUCUGAAGGCGAUAAUCGAGAACUUCACUUUAGGAAGCUGAUGAAGAAACCGCGGCAA